UGGGGAAUAUUGGACAAUGGGCGCAAGCCUGAUCCAGCAAUGCCGCGUGGGUGAAGAAGGUCUUCGGAUUGUAAAGCCCUUUCGACAGGGACGAUGAUGACGGUACCUGUAGAAGAAGCCCCGGCUAACUUCGUGCCAGCAGCCGCGGUAAUACGAAGGGGGCUAGCGUUGCUCGGAAUUACUGGGCGUAAAGGGCGCGUAGGCGGCCGAUCAAGUCAGGCGUGAAAUUCCAGGGCUUAACCUUGGGGCUGCGCUUGAUACUGAUUGGCUUGAGGACGGAAGAGGGUCGUGGAAUUCCCAGUGUAGAGGUGAAAUUCGUAGAUAUUGGGAAGAACACCGGUGGCGAAGGCGGCGACCUGGUCCGUUACUGACGCUGAGGCGCGACAGCGUGGGGAGCAAACA
This 402-nucleotide ribosomal RNA is filed under the name uncultured bacterium. RNAcentral's name for it is "bacterial SSU rRNA". It matches the Rfam family "Bacterial small subunit ribosomal RNA", at positions 355 to 774 of the family's 1533-position model. The record is from RNAcentral.